GGAGGAAGCAAUUCCCUUCGCUUUGGGAUGAGCCUGCGUCUCAUUAGCUAGUUGGUGGGGUAACGGCCCACCAAGGCAUUGAUGGGUAGCUGGUCUGAGAGGAUGAUCAGCCACACUGGAACUGAAACACGGUCCAGACUCCUACGGGAGGCAGCAGUGGGAAUCUUGCGCAAUGGACGAAAGUCUGACGCAGCCACGCCGCGUGAGUGAAGAAGGCCUUCGGGUUGUAAAGCUCUGUCGAGCGGGACGAAAAAUGGAGAGGUGAAUAGCCUCUUCAUCUGACGGUACCGCUAAAGGAAGCACCGGCUAACUCCGUGCCAGCAGCCGCGGUAA
RNAcentral lists this ribosomal RNA (333 nucleotides) under uncultured delta proteobacterium. RNAcentral describes it as "bacterial SSU rRNA". It matches the Rfam family "Bacterial small subunit ribosomal RNA", at positions 198 to 523 of the family's 1533-position model. Lineage: Bacteria; Deltaproteobacteria. The record is from RNAcentral.